UCAGUUAAUGAAUUUUACUUGAUUAACUACGUUGAGCAAAGAAUGAAAUUGAUUUAAUUCUACAGUACAUUGUGUUAGGGUAAAUAUUAGAAUCUAGAAACAAACAUUAGUUUGUUUGUUUGUUUUGGGGAGACGAAUUAUUAUAAACAUCAUUUAUCAUUCUUUUAACUAUAAUAAUUGUUUAAUAAAAAAAAAUAUAUGUUUGUACUUACUUUGUUAUUGUACAUUUCCAUUGCAACAUUUAAUAAUGUCAUGUUAUCAUGCUGUCAUACUACACUGCAACUAACGUACUGACCGAUUUGAUCGUCAAUUUUCUACGGAAUCGAUGAAUCGAAUGCAUAUGUUCAAAUCGCUCGCCUUGCCAAUGGCCUAAAAUUGCGAACCUGAAACUGAAAUAUCAAAAGAAGACUCAACUAAUACUUAAAAGGAAAUAGAAGGAAGAUUUCACUCAUACCUACCGAACGUAUGAUUAGCAUAACAUUUCAAAUAUAUAUAUCCCUUAUUAUAAUAACUCCCUAUUAGGAUUAGCCCGAUAUAAAAACAUAUUCUCUUUGGUUAUAAAAAUCCAAGAAAGGACAUUUUUGUUACUAAAUAUACUAAGGCAAAAAGCCUCAAUCAAAAAUUGCGAUCCCAAUUAUUCAGAAUGAUAAAUUUGAUUGGAUUUAUUUUUGGCUAUCAUGGUAAGGAUAUACUAGAGGUUUAAUCUAUUUGAACAUUUCUCAGAUUAA
Molecule: non-coding RNA, 728 nt
Organism: Schizosaccharomyces pombe (fission yeast)
Lineage: Eukaryota; Fungi; Ascomycota; Schizosaccharomycetes; Schizosaccharomycetales; Schizosaccharomycetaceae
Source: the annotation of a GenBank genome assembly